GACGGAGGGUGCUAGCGUUGUUCGGAAUUACUGGGCGUAAAGGGCGCGUAGGCGGCCGUUUGCGUCGGAUGUGAAAGCCCGGGGCUCAACCCCGGAACGGCAUCCGAUACGGGACGGCUGGAGACCGGGAGAGGAGGGUGGAAUAGCCAGUGUAGAGGUGAAAUUCGUAGAUAUUGGCUGGAACACCAGUGGCGAAGGCGACUACCUGGCCUGUUCUUGACGCUGAGGCGCGAAAGCUAGGGUAGCAAACGGG
RNAcentral lists this ribosomal RNA (253 nucleotides) under uncultured bacterium. RNAcentral's name for it is "partial 16S ribosomal RNA". It matches the Rfam family "Bacterial small subunit ribosomal RNA", at positions 524 to 776 of the family's 1533-position model. The record is from RNAcentral.